GACGAACGCUGGCGGCGUGCUUAACACAUGCAAGUCGAACGGAAAGGCCUUUUCGGAGGUACUCGAGUGGCGAACGGGUGAGUAACACGUGGGUGAUCUGCCCUGCACUCUGGGAUAAGCCUGGGAAACUGGGUCUAAUACCGGAUAGGACCGCACUUUAGUGUGUGUGGUGGAAAGUUUUUUCGGUGUAGGAUGAGCCCGCGGCCUAUCAGCUUGUUGGUGGGGUAAUGGCUUACCAAGGCGGCGACGGGUAGCCGGACUGAGAGGUUGGUCGGCCACAUUGGGACUGAGAUACGGCCCAGACUCCUACGGGAGGCAGCAGUGGGGAAUAUUGCACAAUGGGCGCAAGCCUGAUGCAGCGACGCCGCGUGGGGGAGGACGGCCUUCGGGUUGUAAACUCCUUUCGCCAGGGACGAAGCGUUUUGUGACGGUACCUGGAGAAGAAGCACCGGCUAACUACGUG
This 463-nucleotide ribosomal RNA is filed under the name uncultured bacterium. RNAcentral describes it as "partial 16S ribosomal RNA". It matches the Rfam family "Bacterial small subunit ribosomal RNA", at positions 28 to 507 of the family's 1533-position model. The record is from RNAcentral.